UACAGAGGUGGCAAGCGUUGUUCGGAAUUACUGGGCGUAAAGGGCGCGUAGGCGGUUCGUCAAGUCCUGUGUGAAAUCCCCCGGCUCAACUGGGGAACUGCACAGGAAACUAGCGGGCUUGAGUUCGGGAGAGGGAAGCGGAAUUCCGGGUGUAGCGGUGAAAUGCGUAGAUAUCCGGAGGAACACCGGUGGCGAAGGCGGCUUACUGGACGAUUGUUGACGCUGAGGUGCGAAAGCGUGGGGAGCAAACAGG
RNAcentral lists this ribosomal RNA (253 nucleotides) under uncultured bacterium. Its description in RNAcentral is "partial 16S ribosomal RNA". It matches the Rfam family "Bacterial small subunit ribosomal RNA", at positions 524 to 776 of the family's 1533-position model. The record is from RNAcentral.